GACGAACGCUGGCGGCGUGCUUAACACAUGCAAGUCGAACGGAAAGGCCCUGCUUUUGUGGGGUGCUCGAGUGGCGAACGGGUGAGUAACACGUGAGUAACCUGCCCUUGACUUUGGGAUAACUUCAGGAAACUGGGGCUAAUACCGGAUAGGAGCUCCUGCUGCAUGGUGGGGGUUGGAAAGUUUCGGCGGUUGGGGAUGGACUCGCGGCUUAUCAGCUUGUUGGUGGGGUAGUGGCUUACCAAGGCUUUGACGGGUAGCCGGCCUGGGAGGGUGACCGGCGACAAGGGGACUGAGAGACGGACCAGACUCCUACGGGAGGCAGCAGUGGGGAAUAUUGCACAAUGGGCGGAAGCCUGAUGCAGCAACGCCGCGGGCGGGAUGACGGCCUUCGGGUUGUAAACCGCUUUCGCCUGUGACGAAGCGGGAGUGACGGUAAUGGGUAAAGAAGCACCGGCUAACUACGUG
RNAcentral lists this ribosomal RNA (468 nucleotides) under uncultured bacterium. Its description in RNAcentral is "partial 16S ribosomal RNA". It matches the Rfam family "Bacterial small subunit ribosomal RNA", at positions 28 to 507 of the family's 1533-position model. The record is from RNAcentral.